AACGAACGCUGGCGGCAUGCCUAACACAUGCAAGUCGAACGCCUGUAGCAAUACAGGAGUGGCGCACGGGUGAGUAACGCGUGGGAACCUGCCCUGGAGUGGGGGAUAACCGAGAGAAAUUUCGGCUAAUACCGCAUACGUCCUGAGGGAGAAAGAUUUAUCGCUCUAGGAGGGGCCCGCGUCGGAUUAGCUAGUUGGUGGGGUAACGGCCUACCAAGGCAACGAUCCGUAGCCGGCCNGAGAGGGCGGUCGGCCACACUGACACUGACAUACGGGUCAGACUCCUACGGGAGGCAGCAGUCGGGAAUUUUGGGCAAUGGGCGAAAGCCUGACCCAGCAACGCCGCGUGAAGGA
This 354-nucleotide ribosomal RNA is filed under the name uncultured bacterium. Its description in RNAcentral is "bacterial SSU rRNA". It matches the Rfam family "Bacterial small subunit ribosomal RNA", at positions 29 to 408 of the family's 1533-position model. The record is from RNAcentral.